RNAcentral lists this ribosomal RNA (543 nucleotides) under ascomycete sp. GP7. RNAcentral describes it as "partial 18S ribosomal RNA". The stretch from base 163 to 316 matches the Rfam family "5.8S ribosomal RNA". Lineage: Eukaryota; Fungi; Ascomycota. The record is from RNAcentral.
UCAUUACUGAGUGCGGGCUGCCUUCGGGCGCCCAACCUCCCACCCGUGACUACCUAACACUGUUGCUUCGGCGGGGAGCCCUCUCGGGGGCGAGCCGCCGGGGACUACUGAACUUCAUGCCUGAGAGUGAUGCAGUCUGAGUCUGAAUAUAAAAUCAGUCAAAACUUUCAACAAUGGAUCUCUUGGUUCCGGCAUCGAUGAAGAACGCAGCGAACUGCGAUAAGUAAUGUGAAUUGCAGAAUUCAGUGAAUCAUCGAGUCUUUGAACGCACAUUGCGCCCCCUGGCAUUCCGGGGGGCAUGCCUGUCCGAGCGUCAUUGCUGCCCAUCAAGCCCGGCUUGUGUGUUGGGUCGUCGUCCCCCCCGGGGGACGGGCCCGAAAGGCAGCGGCGGCACCGUGUCCGGUCCUCGAGCGUAUGGGGCUUUGUCACCCGCUCGAUUUAGGGCCGGCCGGGCGCCAGCCGACGUCCAACCAUUUUUCUUCAGGUUGACCUCGGAUCAGGUAGGGAUACCCGCUGAACUUAAGCAUAUCAAUAAGCGGAGGA